Molecule: ribosomal RNA, 543 nt
Filed under: uncultured bacterium
Lineage: Bacteria
Description: partial 16S ribosomal RNA
Rfam family: Bacterial small subunit ribosomal RNA
Source: RNAcentral
UGGGGAAUAUUGCACAAUGGGCGAAAGCCUGAUGCAGCAACGCCGCGUGAGUGAUGAAGGUCUUCGGAUUGUAAAGCUCUGUCUUUUGGGACGAUAAUGACGGUACCAAAGGAGGAAGCCACGGCUAACUACGUGCCAGCAGCCGCGGUAAUACGUAGGUGGCGAGCGUUGUCCGGAUUUACUGGGCGUAAAGGGUGCGUAGGCGGAUGUUUAAGUGAGAUGUGAAAUACCCGGGCUUAACUUGGGUGCUGCAUUUCAAACUGGAUAUCUAGAGUGCAGGAGAGGAGAAUGGAAUUCCUAGUGUAGCGGUGAAAUGCGUAGAGAUUAGGAAGAACACCAGUGGCGAAGGCGAUUCUCUGGACUGUAACUGACGCUGAGGCACGAAAGCGUGGGUAGCAAACAGGAUUAGAUACCCUGGUAGUCCACGCCGUAAAACGAUGAGUACUAGGUGUAGGAGGUAUCGACCCCUUCUGUGCCGCAGUAAACACAUUAAGUACUCCGCCUGGGAAGUACGAUCGCAAGAUUAAAACUCUAAAGUGAAUU